CUUUGCGUGCUCUCCGUUUGCGUCGUCGGGCGAUAGGGACGGCGUCUGCUCGGUCGAGCCUGACCGGAAUUCGCAAUGGGAGCGAGCCGGAAGCUCCAAGCGGAGAUCGACCGCGUGCUCAAGAAGGUCCAGGACGGCGUCGAGGUCUUCGACGGCAUUUGGAACAAGGUUUACGACACGGACAAUGCGAACCAGAAGGAGAAGCUGGAGGCGGACUUGAAGAAGGAGAUUAAGAAGCUGCAGAGGUACCGCGACCAGAUUAAGACGUGGACACAGUCGAGUGAGAUCAAGGAUAAGAAGGUUAGUGCCUCUUAUGAGCAGUCUCUGGUGGAUGCCCGAAAACUCAUCGAGCGUGAAAUGGAGAGAUUUAAGAUCUGCGAGAAGGAAACAAAGAUGAAAGCAUUCUCUAAAGAAGGCCUUGGUCAACAACCUAGAACUGAUCCAAAGGAGAAAGCUAAGUCAGAGACAAGGGAUUGGAUAAACAAUGUGGUUGGUGAGUUGGAAACCCAGAUCGAUGUUUUCGAAGCCGAGAUUGAGGGGCUUUCUGUAAAGAAAGGAAAGACAAGGCCUCCUAGACUGACACAUUUGGAGACAUCCAUUGCUCGUCAUAAGGCUCAUAUUAUGAAGUUGGAAUUGAUUUUGAGGCUGCUGGAUAAUAAUGAAUUGAGUCCUGAGCAAGUUAAUGAUCUCAAAGACUUUUUGGAUGACUAUGUGGAACGAAAUCAGGAUGACUUUGAUGAAUUUGGUGAUGUGGAUGAGUUUUAUAACUCAUUACCACUGGAGAAGGUGGAAGCUCUUGAAGAGCUGGUUACCCUUGGUCCUCCUGGUCUCUUGAAGGGGACGCCAGUUCUGAGCUUGAAGAGUUCUCCAAUGGCAGCAGCACCUCACCUGGCGGCUACUACUACAACUGCUCAUCAACAAGAAGGUUCCUUGGUCCAAGAGGAAGUUGAAGACACAAGCUCUAAAGAUGCCAAUUCAGAUAAUAGUGCAGGACUUGGGCCAACCAAAGCUAGUACCAUAACUUUUGCCGUUUCAACACCUAUGGAAAUUCAUGCUGAUUCUGUUACAUCAAACAUUCUUUCUCAUAGCCCACCUGGUGUAUCAACUGCUUCAACAGUUCUUCCUGGUUCCACUCAAGUUUGUGGUGUCCUGGAAAGUGCAGGUCCUGCCAAUUCAUCUACUUUAAAUUUUUCUACUACAGGCAAGGAGGAAGAAGAUGUGACCUUCUCGGGUCGCCAACCGUCUCCCUCUCUUAAUGAGACUGAGAUUUUGAAUGGAAUGGUUGGGGGUGCUCUAGCCAGUCAAUUGUCAUCUAGUAUGACUCCAGCCGACAUGCUUCCUGGUAGUGGAACCAAUAUUGUGCCCCCUUAUACUUCGGACAUAGCAAAGAGGAAUAUUUUAGAAGCUGAGGAAAGACUUGGAAGUAGUGGAACAAUGCAGUCUCUAGUGUCCCCAUUGGACAAUAGAAUCAUCUUACCUCAGGGGCUGCAGGCCAAUGAAGUAACUGGAUAUGUUGAUUCUGGUAGUGGUGCUGAGGGUGCAUCUCUGGCUGGCAGGAUUUUUUCACCUCCUUUAGUUACUGGCAUGGAGUGGAGGCCUGGAAGUUCUUUUAACCAGAAUCAAUUGGGGUACACCCGCAGGAGAACUGAAAUAGCCCCUGAUCAAAGGGAGAGAUUUUUACAGCGUUUUCAGCAAAUGCAGCAACAAGGUCACAGCGUCGUUUUGGGCAUGCCUUUCUUGGCUGGAGGAAAUCAGAAGCAGUUUUCUGCACGACAGCAAGGCCCACCCUUGCAGCAGUUCAAUUCUCAAAGCUCAUCCAUCUCUCCGCAAGUCAGUGUAGGGAUUGGAUUACAAAUGCCAGGUCUGAACACUGUAUCUGACUUGGCUCUGCAACGACAACUGGGUUCCAUCCAUCAACAGUUUAGUCAGCUAUCUCUUGCACUUUCAGGUCCAAGAGAUUCUGAAGUUAGCAAUGGGAAAAUUCUGGAGCAGCCGGGGGAGCAGAAUCUACCCAAUUAUUCAGGUGCUGAUUCUGCUGUUCGGUCUGGAGUGGGCAAGAAUACAAUGAAUGAGGAUGAUCUGGUAUUCCCACAAGCAUCAGAUGCUGGAUUGGUGGACUCUUUUGCGGAGCCUGCUCAGGUUCCUAGAGAUACUGACGUAUCCCCUGGGCAACCUCAUCGGCCCACUCUACCUUCUCGAAAGCUUGGAUUUAUUGGGAGAAGAAGUAUUUCUGACCUUGGUGCUGUUGGUGAUAAUUUUGGCUCAUCCAAUUUCAGUUAUGGAGGCUAUCAUAAUCAGAUACACAAUCAUGCAAUGCUUGAGGCUGCGUUUUAUAAGCUUCCUCAACGAAAGGACUCAGACAGGAGGCGCCCUGUUGACACGCCUCCUAGCUUUCCUCAAGUGCAGGCGCCCAUCGUGAAGACAAAUGCUUUUUGGGAACGAUUAGGCAGGGAACCUUGUUCUGUUGAUACCCUUUUCUUUGCAUUUUACUAUCAACAGAAUACUUAUCAACAAUGUAUGGCUGCAAAAGAGUUGAAGAAGCAAUCGUGGAGAUAUCACAAGAAACACAACACGUGGUUUAAGAGGCAUGAUGAGCCAACAGUAGCCACAGGUCAAUAUGAACAGGGGAGUUACAUUUAUUUUGACUUUAAUGCUUCAGAAGACGAUACGCAGCCUGGAUGGUGCCAGAGGAUCAAGAAGGACUUCACAUUUGACUAUCGUUACCUUGAAGAAGACCUAGUGUUAUAAGUGACCUGUAGAUUCUGCUGCAGUGGUUAUGAACCCUGACUUCAUUGUUCGUACCAUACUAAUUAUACUGUGCAGAUAGCCAGAAACUUCCUGUGUACUCAUGUGCAUAACAAUCCGCAAUCCGGUUGCAGGUUUACUGCUACAUUGAGAUUCUUAGCUUUCUCCUCUUUCCUUGGACCAUUUGAGUUUCUCCGGAUGCUGAAAUGUCAUCCAUUUUCACAGAAACUAGUAUCCUCAUCUCUGGACCGUUCUGUACAUUUGAUCUCCGUGUCCUUAUGCAUUUAUAUGACAGAAUAGUUUUACCAGUUACCCUCACCUUUAACUUUCUCUGGACCUCUUGAAUUUGAGGGAGAAACUUUUCUGCU
Molecule: RNA transcript, 3113 nt
Organism: Rhodamnia argentea
Lineage: Eukaryota; Viridiplantae; Streptophyta; Magnoliopsida; Myrtales; Myrtaceae
Gene name: CCR4-NOT transcription complex subunit 3-like
Exons: 17
Source: RefSeq, a predicted model, not a curated record